Molecule: ribosomal RNA, 375 nt
Filed under: uncultured bacterium
Lineage: Bacteria
Description: bacterial SSU rRNA
Rfam family: Bacterial small subunit ribosomal RNA
Source: RNAcentral
ACGUAGGAGACGAACGUUAUCCGGAGUUACUGGGCGUAAAGGGCGUGUAGGCGGUAUGUUAAGUCUGGCGUGAAAGCUCUCGGCUAAACCGGGAGAGGUCGUUGGAUACUGGCACACUAGAGGAUGGUAGAGGCGUGUGGAAUUCCGGGUGUAGUGGUGAAAUGCGUAGAGAUCCGGAGGAACACCAGUGGCGAAGGCGACACGCUGGGCCAUACCUGACGCUAAAGCGCGACAGCAUGGGGAGCAAACGGGAUUAGAAACCCCGGUAGUUCAUGCCGUAAACGAUGCCAGCUAGAUGUUCAGUUCUCGCAAGAGAACGGGGUAUCGAAGCAAACGCGAUAAGCUGACCGCCUGGGGAGUACGGUCGCAAGGCUA